UCACGGUGGGGCCGCCAUGUUGCGGCGCCAUGGAGGAGAGGGUAGAGCGUGGUUCGUUCCGCUCUCCCCAAAUCCUCACCCCGCUCUCUCCCGACACACUCACACGCUACUCUGCAGUGCGCACAGACACUCGCUCGCCAGCCACACUCACACGCUACUCUGCAGUGCGCACAGACACUCGCCCCGCACACUCGCACGCCCCAACACUCCACUGUCUAAUACGCACAAACACCACGCACGCGACGGGGCUCUGUCUCGGCUGGAGGCCGCUGCGAUGAGCCCCGAGGUACGCGGGGAGCCCGACUGAGUUUUGAAAUUAUUAUUUUUCAAGAUUCUGGAGUCGUCGUCGGUUGCAAUCGCCUGAAGGUUGCAGGUUCCAAGAUCCUGGAGCUUCAAAGAUUUUAAUCACACGAAGUUUCACAUUCCAAGGUGAUAUCCACGUCUUGAAGAUGAAAGAAAAUGCAUCCAAGCCUUGUCAUUGGUGAACAUGGAGUCAACACAAUUCCUCUACUGAAGUCUUAACACGGGGUCAAUUACAGGCAUAAACAUACAUAUAGGGAAGUGAAAAGCAAAACUAGGAAACACGAGGCGUUUACAAAAGAUGGCAUUGGUGGUAGGAAUGUAUACAAUGAAACGGAUGCAUAACAAUGAGUUGAGAUAAAUUCAAGGCCCUUAAAUAUACAAGUUAUACAAAUAUACAAGUAUAUAAAAUGACCGGUCAUUCCACUUUGAAUAAACUGAUUCAAUGUUCGAGGUGAACAUUUUAACUUAGCUUAACCCUAACUUAAUACAGAUAUUAGAAUGGCCUUGACAAGAAUGAAAUAUUUAAACUAUUACAUCUCAUGGGUCUCAAAAGAGAACCAUUGUUAAAGGGGUAAACAAUGAAGUGAGAAACCUGGCGCCAUCCUAAAGACAGUAAGAGAAGAUGCACCUUUGUCAUGGUAAAACACAGAGAAGCUGCACCUUUGUCAUGGUGAUCGGCAGCGCUGCACCAUUGCGAUGUACAAUCGGUAUACACUGUUACGUUGUUUUCAAUAAAUGCUCCUUUUGCAA
Molecule: long non-coding RNA, 1053 nt
Organism: Lethenteron reissneri (Far Eastern brook lamprey)
Lineage: Eukaryota; Metazoa; Chordata; Hyperoartia; Petromyzontiformes; Petromyzontidae
Source: RefSeq, a predicted model, not a curated record